AGUGAACGCUGGCGGUAGGCCUAACACAUGCAAGUCGAACGGCAGCACAGUAAGAGCUUGCUCUUACGGGUGGCGAGUGGCGGACGGGUGAGGAAUACAUCGGAAUCUACUUUUUCGUGGGGGAUAACGUAGGGAAACUUACGCUAAUACCGCAUACGACCUACGGGUGAAAGCAGGGGAUCUUCGGACCUUGCGCGAUUGAAUGAGCCGAUGUCGGAUUAGCUAGUUGGCGGGGUAAAGGCCCACCAAGGCGACGAUCCGUAGCUGGUCUGAGAGGAUGAUCAGCCACACUGGAACUGAGACACGGUCCAGACUCCUACGGGAGGCAGCAGUGGGGAAUAUGGGACAAUGGGCGCAAGCCUGAUCCAGCCAUACCGCGUGGGUGAAGAAGGCCUUCGGGUUGUAAAGCCCUUUUGUUGGGAAAGAAAAGCAGCAGGUUAAUACCCCGCUGUUCUGACGGUACCCAAAGAAUAAGCACCGGCUAACCUCGU
This 491-nucleotide ribosomal RNA is filed under the name uncultured bacterium. RNAcentral's name for it is "partial 16S ribosomal RNA". It matches the Rfam family "Bacterial small subunit ribosomal RNA", at positions 29 to 506 of the family's 1533-position model. The record is from RNAcentral.